CCCAGACUCCUACGGGAGGCAGCAGUGAGGAAUAUUGGUCAAUGGCCGGGAGGCUGAACCAGCCAAGUCGCGUGAGGGAAGACGGCCCUACGGGUUGUAAACCUCUUUUGUCAGGGAGCAGGGUGCAGGUCGGGACCUGCUGUGAGAGUACCUGAAGAAAAAGCAUCGGCUAACUCCGUGCCAGCAGCCGCGGUAAUACGGAGGAUGCGAGCGUUAUCCGGAUUUAUUGGGUUUAAAGGGUGCGUAGGCGGGAUGCCAAGUCAGCGGUAAAAAUGUGGUGCUCAACGCCGUCGAGCCGUUGAAACUGGCGUUCUUGAGUGGGCGAGAAGUAUGCGGAAUGCGUGGUGUAGCGGUGAAAUGCAUAGAUAUCACGCAGAACUCCGAUUGCGAAGGCAGCGUACCGGCGCCCAACUGACGCUCAUGCACGAAAGCGUGGGUAUCGAACAGGAUUAGAUACCCUGGUAGUC
This 467-nucleotide ribosomal RNA is filed under the name uncultured bacterium. RNAcentral's name for it is "bacterial SSU rRNA". It matches the Rfam family "Bacterial small subunit ribosomal RNA", at positions 330 to 795 of the family's 1533-position model. The record is from RNAcentral.